RNAcentral lists this ribosomal RNA (486 nucleotides) under uncultured soil bacterium. RNAcentral describes it as "bacterial SSU rRNA". It matches the Rfam family "Bacterial small subunit ribosomal RNA", at positions 26 to 517 of the family's 1533-position model. The record is from RNAcentral.
AGAUUGAACGCUGGCGGCAUGCUUUACACAUGCAAGUCGAGCGGCAGCGCGGGGGCAACCCUGGCGGCGAGCGGCGAACGGGUGAGGAAUACAUCGGAACGUACCCCGGAGUGGGGGAUAACGCCGCGAAAGCGGCGCUAAUACCGCAUAUGCUCUGAGGAGGAAAGUGGGGGACUCGCAAGGGCCUCACGCUCUGGGGAGCGGCCGAUGUCCGAUUAGCUAGUUGGUGGGUAAAGGCCCACCAAGGCGACGAUCGGUAGCUGGUCUGAGAGGAUGAUCAGCCACACUGGGACUGAGACACGGCCCAGACUCCUACGGGAGGCAGCAGUGGGGAAUUUUGGACAAUGGGGGCAACCUGAUCCAGCCAUGCCGCGUGCGGGAAGAGGCCUUCGGUGUAACCGCUUUAGUACGGAAGAAAGUUAUCCUAACAGGAUGACUGUGACGGUACCGCGGAAUAAGCACCGACUAACUACGUGCCAGCAGCCG